RNAcentral lists this ribosomal RNA (486 nucleotides) under uncultured bacterium. RNAcentral describes it as "partial 16S ribosomal RNA". It matches the Rfam family "Bacterial small subunit ribosomal RNA", at positions 28 to 507 of the family's 1533-position model. The record is from RNAcentral.
GACGAACGCUGGCGGCGUGCUUAACACAUGCAAGUCGAACGCUGAAGACCUGGCUUUUGUUGGGUUGGAUGAGUGGCGAACGGGUGAGUAACACGUGAGUAACCUGCCCUCUUCUUUGGGAUAACGCCCGGAAACGGGUGCUAAUACUGGAUAUUCACUGAUCUUCGCAUGGGGGUUGGUGGAAAGGUUUGUUCUGGUGGGGGAUGGGCUCGCGGCCUAUCAGCUUGUUGGUGGGGUGAUGGCCUACCAAGGCUUUGACGGGUAGCCGGCCUGAGAGGGUGACCGGUCACAUUGGGACUGAGAUACGGCCCAGACUCCGACGGGAGGCAGCAGUGGGGAAUAUUGCACAAUGGGCGAAAGCCUGAUGCAGCGACGCCGCGUGAGGGAUGGAGGCCUUCGGGUUGUAAACCUCUUUCGCUCAUGGUCAAGCCGCAACUGUGGGUUGUGGUGAGGGUAGUGGGUAAAGAAGCGCCGGCUAACUACGUG